Oncorhynchus keta (chum salmon) is the source of this 729-nucleotide long non-coding RNA. RefSeq lists it as uncharacterized. Lineage: Eukaryota; Metazoa; Chordata; Actinopteri; Salmoniformes; Salmonidae. The transcript is spliced from 4 exons. The record is from RefSeq and is a predicted model, not a curated record.
GUCAUAUCUUACCUGACCAGGUAUGGUGGUGAGGACUGAUGAUGUCAUAUCUUACCUGACCAGGUAUGGUGGCGAGGACUGAUGAUGUCAUAUCUUACCUGACAGGUAUGGUGGUGAGGACUGAUGAUGUCAUAUCUUACCUGACAGGUAUGGUGGUGAGGACUGAUGAUGUCAUAUCUUACCUGACCAGGUAUGGUGGUGAGGACUGAUGAUGUCAUAUCUUACCUGACCAGGUAUGGUGGCGAGGACUGAUGAUGUCAUAUCUUACCUGACAGGUAUGGUGGUGAGGACUGAUGAUGUCAUAUCUUACCUGACAGGUAUGGUGGUGAGGACUGAUGAUGUCAUAUCUUACCUGACCAGGUAUGGUGGUGAGGACUGAUGAUGUCAUAUCUUACCUGACCAGGUAUGGUGGCGAGGACUGAUGAUGUCAUAUCUUACCUGACCAGGUAUGGUGGUGAGGACUGAUGAUGUCAUAUCUUACCUGACCAGGUAUGGUGGUGAGGACUGAUGAUGUCAUAUCUUACCUGACCAGGUAUGGUGGUGAGGACUGAUGAUGUCAUAUCUUACCUGACCAGGUAUGGUGGCGAGGACUGAUGAUGUCAUAUCUUACCUGACCAGGUAUGGUGGUGAGGACUGAUGAUGUCAUAUCUUACCUGACCAGGUAUGGUGGUGAGGACUGAUGAUGUCAUAUCUUACCUGACCAGGUAUGGUGGUGAGGACUGAUGAUGU